RNAcentral lists this ribosomal RNA (405 nucleotides) under uncultured bacterium. RNAcentral's name for it is "bacterial SSU rRNA". It matches the Rfam family "Bacterial small subunit ribosomal RNA", at positions 355 to 776 of the family's 1533-position model. The record is from RNAcentral.
UGGGGGAUAUUGCACAAUGGGGGGAACCCUGAUGCAGCGACGCCGCGUGGAGGAAGAAGUAUCUCGGUAUGUAAACUCCUAUCAGCAGGGAAGAAAGAAGACGGUACCUGACUAAGAAGCCCCGGCUAACUACGUGCCAGCAGCCGCGGUAAUACGUAGGGGGCGAGCGUUAUCCGGAUUUACUGGGUGUAAAGGGAGCGUAGACGGCCAUGCAAGCCUGAUGUGAAAGGUGUGGGCACAACCCGCACACUGCAUUGGGAACUGUAUGGCUAGAGUGUCGGAGGGGCAGGCGGAAUUCCUGGUGUAGCGGUGAAAUGCGUAGAUAUCAGGAGGAACACCGGUGGCGAAGGCGGCCUGCUGGACGACGACUGACGUUGAGGCUCGAGAGCGUGGGGAGCGAACAGG